This 61-nucleotide ribosomal RNA is filed under the name Fusarium graminearum. RNAcentral describes it as "partial 28S ribosomal RNA". The record is from RNAcentral. Lineage: Eukaryota; Fungi; Ascomycota; Sordariomycetes; Hypocreales; Nectriaceae.
UUGACCUCGGAUCAGGUAGGAAUACCCGCUGAACUUAAGCAUAUCAAAAAGGCCGGAGGAA